RNAcentral lists this long non-coding RNA (449 nucleotides) under Populus tremula. RNAcentral describes it as "long non-coding RNA (PTRE_LNC000392)". The record is from RNAcentral. Lineage: Eukaryota; Viridiplantae; Streptophyta; Magnoliopsida; Malpighiales; Salicaceae.
AAAAAUGUAUCUUCAUCACUAGUUUUUUUCUUGACACGGAUUUAAAAGAAAUUCCACUAGCUACUUGAUGAGCUCUCAAUUGGAUUAUCAAGACUGCCGGCCAUUGACUACACUAUUAGACAAAACAGGUAAACUAGGCAAAUCCUGGGCUCCGCAAAGUUGAGUUCUUGCCUUCUUGGUGGCGGGAUCAAUAAAGGCCUCUCUGUGGUCAUUAUCUUGAGCUAAAGCAACUCUCCACCAACGUAAGACCUGGUAAUAAUCUCUCUCAAUCAAAAUUCACAGCAAAAACAUAGAACAGCAGCAGCAAAGGUUUGACCUUCAACCAAAACCCAGAAACUAAAACAGCUUAAGCUGCAAAAAGACUACAAAUUCAACAGACUUGGAGGAAAAUCACCUGUACUAUGAGCUCUCUUUACACUCUGAAAACUCUCGACACUUGUUUCUCAAGC